This 75-nucleotide transfer RNA is filed under the name Candidatus Acidulidesulfobacter guangdongensis. RNAcentral's name for it is "Candidatus Acididesulfobacter guangdongensis tRNA-Thr". It matches the Rfam family "tRNA". Rfam says of the family: Transfer RNA (tRNA) molecules are approximately 80 nucleotides in length. Their secondary structure includes four short double-helical elements and three loops (D, anti-codon, and T loops). Further hydrogen bonds mediate the characteristic L-shaped molecular structure. tRNAs have two regions of fundamental functional importance: the anti-codon, which is responsible for specific mRNA codon recognition, and the 3' end, to which the tRNAs corresponding amino acid is attached (by aminoacyl-tRNA synthetases). tRNAs cope with the degeneracy of the genetic code in two manners: having more than one tRNA (with a specific anti-codon) for a particular amino acid; and 'wobble' base-pairing, i.e. permitting non-standard base-pairing at the 3rd anti-codon position. The record is from RNAcentral. Lineage: Bacteria; Candidatus Acidulodesulfobacteriota; Candidatus Acidulidesulfobacterales; Candidatus Acidulidesulfobacteraceae.
GCCGGCGUGGCUCAGGGGUAGAGCAGCUGAUUCGUAAUCAGUUGAUCGUAGGUUCGAUUCCUAUCGCCGGCUCCA